This 823-nucleotide long non-coding RNA is filed under the name Homo sapiens (human). Its description in RNAcentral is "non-protein coding lnc-SERTM1-1:1". The record is from RNAcentral. Lineage: Eukaryota; Metazoa; Chordata; Mammalia; Primates; Hominidae.
GUAAAGGUUGAAGUCAAUAGAUUUGGCAGUAUUAGGUGUCUGGUUACAGGGCUCCUUUCAACACUGGCAAAAUGAACAUUAUUGCCACCAAUGAUCCCUUCAUUGUUUUCAACUACAUGGUCCUCAUGUUCCAAGUUGAUUCCACUAUGUCAAGUUCAAUGGAAUCUUUAAGGAUAGGAAUGGGACGCUCAUCAUCAGUGGGAAGCCCAUUUCUAUCUUCCAGGAAACAGGUCCCACCAACCUCCAAUGGGGUGAUGUUGGUAUGGGGGCCCCUGGUGUCAUCACUAUCUUCAAGAAGAUUGGGGUUCACUUAAAGGUGAAGUCACAAAAGUCCUCAUCGCUGCUUCUUCUGCUGAUUCCCCCAUGUGUGCAAGGAGAGUGAACCAUGAGAAACAUAAGCAUUCCCUCAAGACUAUCAGCAACAACACCUGAACCACCAACUGUGCAGCCCUCCUCCCCAAGAACAUCCAUGGAACUCUCCCAGCAGGGAGGACCUCACUGUUAUAAACAAUGCCAUCAGUGCCACUCACAGACUGUGGAUGGUCCUUCUGGCAAACCAUGGUGCAGUGGUCAUCGUGCUGCCCAGAGCAGCAUCCUCACCAUCACUGGCACGGCCAAGACUGUCAUGAAUCUGACUUGCCACCUUGAGAACAUUGCCAAGUACAAUGACAUCAAGAAUGUGGUGAAGCAGGUGAUGGGGGCUUCCGAAGAGCCUCCUGAGCAACAUUGAAGACUAGAUUGUCUCCCAUGACUCUAAUAGUGUAACGCUGUGGAUGCAGGGCCUGGCUUCACCCUCAAUGACCACUUUGUUAAGCUUUUUAGU